UACGGGGGGGGCAAGCGUUGUUCGGAUUCAUUGGGCGUAAAGGGUGCGUAGGCGGUUUGCUAAGUUUGAUGUGAAAGCCCGGGGCUCAACCCUGGAAUUGCAUUGAAUACUGGCGGACUAGAGUACUGGAGAGGAAACUGGAAUUUACGGUGUAGCAGUGAAAUGCGUAGAGAUCGUAAGGAAGACCAGUGGCGAAGGCGAGUUUCUGGACAGUUACUGACGCUGAGGCACGAAGGCCAGGGGAGCAAACGGG
Molecule: ribosomal RNA, 253 nt
Filed under: uncultured bacterium
Lineage: Bacteria
Description: partial 16S ribosomal RNA
Rfam family: Bacterial small subunit ribosomal RNA
Source: RNAcentral